This 492-nucleotide ribosomal RNA is filed under the name uncultured bacterium. Its description in RNAcentral is "partial 16S ribosomal RNA". It matches the Rfam family "Bacterial small subunit ribosomal RNA", at positions 29 to 507 of the family's 1533-position model. The record is from RNAcentral.
AGUGAACGCUGGCGGUAGGCCUAACACAUGCAAGUCGAACGGCAGCACAGUAAGAGCUUGCUCUUACGGGUGGCGAGUGGCGGACGGGUGAGGAAUACAUCGGAAUCUACUUUUUCGUGGGGGAUAACGUAGGUAAACUUACGCUAAUACCGCAUACGCCCUACGGGUGAAAGCAGGGGAUCUUCGGACCUUGCGCGAAUGAAUGAGCCGAUGUCGGAUUAGCUAGUUGGCGGGGUAAAUGCCCACCAAGGCGACGAUCCGUAGCUGGUCUGAGAGGAUGAUCAGCCACACUGGAACUGAGACACGGUCCAGACUACUACGGGAGGCAGCAGUGGGGAAUAUUGGACAAUGGGCGCAAGCCUGAUCCAGCCAUACCGCGUGGGUGAAGAAGGCCUUCGGGUUGUAAAGCCCUUUUGUUGGGAAAGAAAAGCAGCAGGUUAAUACCCCGCUGUUCUGACGGUACCCAAAGAAUAAGCACCGGCUAACUUCGUG